RNAcentral lists this transfer RNA (66 nucleotides) under Neohydatothrips samayunkur. RNAcentral's name for it is "tRNA-Pro". Lineage: Eukaryota; Metazoa; Arthropoda; Insecta; Thysanoptera; Thripidae. The record is from RNAcentral.
CAGAAAAUAAUUUAAGUGAAAAUUUUAACUUUGGAUGUUAAUAUUAAAGUUACCCUUUUUUUCUGA